Molecule: RNA transcript, 1758 nt
Organism: Rhodamnia argentea
Lineage: Eukaryota; Viridiplantae; Streptophyta; Magnoliopsida; Myrtales; Myrtaceae
Gene name: putative PAP-specific phosphatase, mitochondrial
Exons: 10
Source: RefSeq, a predicted model, not a curated record
UUCCAGCGCCUCUCUCUCCGCCAUGGUCGUCCUCCUCCACUCCGCCUCCCGCAUCUCCGCCGUCCGGUUCAAUCCCCCUCCUCGUUCCCCGACGCAUGUCCGCGGAAGAAUGCUCUCGUUGAGGUGUCUCAGCUCGAGCCUCCCGUUCCCAGUCGAUAACGCCAAGUAUCACCGCGAGCUCGAAGCCGCCAUCGACGUUGUGGAGCGAGCUUGCCGUCUCUGUGUCGACGUGAAGAAAGCCUUGUCUUCGAGUGAUGGUCGGAUUCUCGAGAAGACUGACCAAACUCCCGUCACCGUUGCGGACUUCGGCGUGCAAGCUCUUGUCAGUUUGGAGCUGGGAAACUUGUUUCCUUCCAUUCCUUUAGUGGCAGAAGAGGACUCUGCAUCCAUACGUUCUACUGAUUUGGUGGGUUAUGUUGUGGAUGCUGUUACCGAUAAAGCGAGCUCUGAAGUUCAUCCUUUGACACCCAAUGCUGUUUUAGAGGCUAUUGACCGAGGAGGAAAGAACGACUUCUCUAUUGGAGCGCAGCCAGACUCAUAUUGGGUUCUGGAUCCAAUAGAUGGGACACGAGGAUUUCUAAAAGGAAGUGAGGCCUUGUAUGUGGUAGGAUUGGCACUUGUGAUUGGUGGAGAAGUUGUAUUAGGUGCAAUGGGAUGCCCUAAUUGGCAGCAAGAUCUAUCCAAUGUAGCCAACGAUGGGCUACAGGAGUAUGAGAUCAGCAUGGCGAGACCUGGGAUCAUCAUGGUAUCUCAUGUUGGCUGUGGAACAUGGACCAAAAGGUUACCACCACAGCUCAGUAAUACAAGUGCAGAGGAUGCCUAUUGGACCAGGUGCUUUGUUGAUUGGUUCUCUGCAGUUCAUGAAGCACGCUUUUGCAUUCCAGAGAGUCAAACAUGGGAGACAAUUCUCCCGUCUACCUCAUUCAAAGCAACAACUGAAACUGGUACUGCUGGAGAAGGGAAAGUUGUUCUACUGCCAGCAUGUUGUGGAAGUUUAUGCAAGUAUAUGAUGGUUGCUUCAGGAAGGGCGUCAGUUUUCAUUAGUCGAGCAAGAGCACAAACCUCAAUCAAGGCUUGGGACCAUGCUGUUGGCAUGAUAUGCGUGCAUGAAGCUGGAGGAAAGGUGACCGAUUGGGAAGGAAGUCAAAUUGAUCUGGCAGCAGAUGCCGCUGAACGGAGAAUCGUAUUCCCUAGAGGUGGCAUUAUUGUGUCUAAUGGGAACUUGCAUGACAAGAUUUUGGACAUGACUUCUUCUGGGGCCUCGUCUGUUUUGUAGGAAGCCAAAGAUUUGGUAAAAAAAAAAAUGCAUAAAACCAUUGCACAUUUGUUCUAUUGAAUGUAAUACAUAAGCUCCUUGCUGAAAGCUGGUAUUGAAGGUUCAAGCAAGUGCUCUUCUGAAGGCCCUUAUCUUCAGUAAAAUCUUCUGAAUGUCUGCAGAAAAGAGAGUGCUUUCAAGGGAAUCCAAAGAACCAUCGGUGCGAUAACUCGAGAAGUGGCAGUUACAUCUGAGUUGAUCAACCUUCAGUCGGUCACACAUUGAGCAUGUAAGGUAGAUGAAAUUAGGGGCCAUAGAGCCCAGUGCAUAUUAUGACAAUUCCCUAGUCUAGAGUUCAUGAACUACUCGACUAUCUGUACUUUACUUCAGUGAAGAUUAGGUAGAGAAACAGAAACUCUGUAGUAAUUUUUUGGUUUUAAAACUCUUGUACCAGAAAUUUGUUGCACAAUAAUCAUUGUCCUCUUGAAUUUUUACUGUACAUU